Molecule: long non-coding RNA, 432 nt
Organism: Homo sapiens (human)
Lineage: Eukaryota; Metazoa; Chordata; Mammalia; Primates; Hominidae
Source: Ensembl
GCGCUGUCCCUGCCAGAAAGAUCCUUGGCGCACAGAGCACAGAAUGACUCGAGCGGGGGCUCGUGGGUUCCUUGGCGCUGUGCCCUCCUUCCAGGCGACAGCGGUGCUGCUGGACGGGGUUCGAGCCUUGGGCUGCCGGUCAGACUUUCAGGUACUCCUCUCUACCUCUCUACUUAUAAACCAACUGCAGGAAAGUGCAUGUCAGGUUGUCAGCCAUAAGCAGGGGACUCUCACUGUUAUUUGGUUAAAACAUCUAUCCUCAGUUACAGAUGCUUCUCCUGCCAGUUCGCUGAUAAAAGGUCAGUAACUAUCUGUUUGUUCUCUUAAAAUUACAUAAGAAGGGAAAGUGACACCGUGGGAAGUGGAAACUUCUCUGGUCCUAGAAUCAUAAGACCUGAUUUGAGUCGCGUCUGUGCCAUUUACAAGCUGUGU